Molecule: ribosomal RNA, 459 nt
Filed under: uncultured bacterium
Lineage: Bacteria
Description: bacterial SSU rRNA
Rfam family: Bacterial small subunit ribosomal RNA
Source: RNAcentral
UGGAGGCAGCAGUGGGGAAUUUUGGACAAUGGGCGCAAGCCUGAUCCAGCCAUACCGCGUGAGUGAAGAAGGCCUUCGGGUUGUAAAGCUCUUUCAGCCGGAAAGAAAUUGCUUCUAUUAAUACUAGGAGUAGAUGACGGUACCGGAAGAAGAAGCACCGGCUAACUACGUGCCAGCAGCCGCGGUAAUACGUAGGGUGCGAGCGUUAAUCGGAAUUACUGGGCGUAAAGCGUGCGCAGGCGGUUUGGUAAGACAGACGUGAAAUCCCCGGGCUUAACCUGGGAACUGCGUUUGUGACUGCCAGACUAGAGUGUAGCAGAGGGGGGUAGAAUUCCACGUGUAGCAGUGAAAUGCGUAGAGAUGUGGAGGAAUACCGAUGGCGAAGGCAGCCCCCUGGGCUAACACUGACGCUCAUGCACGAAAGCGUGGGGAGCAAACAGGAUUAGAUACCCCGGUAGC